CCCCUCUCAGGCUCGUACCUGGAGAGUUUCCAGUACUCUACCGGUCUCAGCUACGGGAGGGAGAGUCAAGCAGAGGCAUACCAUUCCACUCCUAGCUUGGCCAGCGGCUAGUGAGUGGAAGGCAAUCCGCUACAAGU
RNAcentral lists this small nucleolar RNA (137 nucleotides) under Ornithorhynchus anatinus (platypus). Lineage: Eukaryota; Metazoa; Chordata; Mammalia; Monotremata; Ornithorhynchidae. The record is from RNAcentral.